UGGGGAAUCAUGGUCAAUGGGCGAAAGCCUGAACCUGCGACGCCGCGUGAGUGAUGAAGGUCGUAAGAUCGUAAAACUCUUUUCAGGGAUCUUAAAGCCUGUCUGUCAACAACAGGCAGGUCUGACUCUCCCUGGAAGAAGCCCCAGCCAACUACGUGCCAGCAGCUGCCGUAAUACGUAGGGGGCGAGCGUUAUUCGGAAUUACUGGGUGUAUAGGGUAUGUAGGCGGCCCUUCAAGUCGCGUGUCAAAGUCAAGUGCUCAACGCUGGGUGUGCACGCGAUACUGACGGGCUUGAGGGCUGGAGAGGUGAGCGGAAUUCCCGGUGUAGUGGUAAAAUACGUAGAGAUCGGGAGGAACACCAGCGGCGCAGGCGGCUCACUAGACAGUUUCUGACGCUAAGAUACGAAAGCGUGGGGAGCAAACA
Molecule: ribosomal RNA, 425 nt
Filed under: uncultured prokaryote
Description: bacterial SSU rRNA
Rfam family: Bacterial small subunit ribosomal RNA
Source: RNAcentral